AGCUUUCUGGCAGAAAAAGUGCGUUAAUUUUAGAAAUUAAGUAUAAGAGAUUCUUGUAAGCUA
RNAcentral lists this transfer RNA (63 nucleotides) under Lepeophtheirus salmonis (salmon louse). RNAcentral describes it as "tRNA-Leu". Lineage: Eukaryota; Metazoa; Arthropoda; Copepoda; Siphonostomatoida; Caligidae. The record is from RNAcentral.